AUUGAACGCUGGCGGCAGGCCUAACACAUGCAAGUCGAGCGCGCGGCGGACGCGUGAGUAAUGUAUGUGGACUGUCCGCUAGAGGGGGAUAACCACUGGAAACGGUAUCUAAUAUCCCACACUAUCGCAUUACCCACAUGUGUUUAGCGAGUAGGUGAGGUAAUGGCUCACCUAGGCGACGAUCCCUCGCUGGUCUGAGAGGAUGAUCAGCCAAACUGGGAAUGAGACACGGCCCAGACUCCUACGGAGGCAGCAGUGGGGAAUAUUGCACAAUGGGCGCAAGCCUGAUGCAGCCAUGCCGCGUGUAUGAAGAAGGCCCGAGGGUUGUAAAGUACUUUCAGUCGGGAGGCGUUACCGACAGAAGAAGCACCGGCUAACUCCGUGCCAGCAGCCGCGGUAAUUC
RNAcentral lists this ribosomal RNA (403 nucleotides) under uncultured bacterium. RNAcentral's name for it is "partial 16S ribosomal RNA". It matches the Rfam family "Bacterial small subunit ribosomal RNA", at positions 30 to 526 of the family's 1533-position model. The record is from RNAcentral.